AUACUGCAAAAUGCCAUUGAUGUCAAACUCUACUGAAAUGGAAUUUUCUGACAAAAAGUGGGAAUACAGCAUAACAUUGUCAGAGAUGGGAAGUUUUGAGAAAUACAAAUCCAAAGGCUGGAUUUUCUCAUACAUUUGCAACUUUCUCUUUCUCUGGUGAGUAGGAUUCCUAAUAGUGUCAUUUUAUUGCUGAUAAAACUGUAUUCUUUGACAGAACUCCAUAUAUUGUACUAACAGUGUAAAUACAGAGAAAAAAGUGGCUCCAGAGAGACAUGUUUUAGAAUAUGAAGUAAGAAUCAUUGUUUUGUGAUUUUGCUUUUGUUUUGUUUUUGCUCACAGAAAUACAUUAGCAAUAGAAAUGCUAAUGAGAAGUUGUACACAGAAAACGGCUGAUAAAGAGGUGUCUUUCCUGAGAAUUUCAAGGAUGUCUGUGAGGUGAAGUAUGGAUCUCCUGGUGACAUUACUGAAGACUACAGGGACUUCAUUAGAUACAAGCUUCACAGUGUGCAGAUCCACAUCAGCUUUAACAUCACGAGGAAGUUAUUUAUGGAAGAUACUGUAGGUGGGGAAAAGAAAAUUCCAUCCCUUGGAAGAGUUGGCUGCUUAUGCAGUUCCUCCAUGUGAUAGAUGUCUCUGCUUGGAUCAUGGAGCUGGAGCUGAGGGAGCAGGCAGUCAUGCCUUCAAACUGUAAUUUGCCUUCAGCUGUAGCAUUUCUUGACAUAUGAACACAGUCCCCAAAUGUAAGUGCUGCAGU
Molecule: long non-coding RNA, 754 nt
Organism: Tyto alba (common barn owl)
Lineage: Eukaryota; Metazoa; Chordata; Aves; Strigiformes; Tytonidae
Exons: 4
Source: RefSeq, a predicted model, not a curated record